AUGUUUGUAUAAAGGAGAGACGGUUGGCAUCUCCCCUGACAGGGACGGGAACAGUCUUCGGACUUUACCUGUUAUCAGACACAUCUAGUUAAGGCUUCCCACUUCGGUGGAUCUUACCCAAAAAAAAUUUUU
Small nuclear RNA from Nicotiana attenuata, 132 nucleotides. NCBI's taxonomy places the organism in Eukaryota, Viridiplantae, Streptophyta, Magnoliopsida, Solanales, Solanaceae. The record is from Rfam.